CUCAAGGGAGAAUAUUCUCUUUUACAAGCCAAUGCAAAGCUCCACCUUUCACAUUCUCCUCAGAGACAAACUAAAAUGCAAGCUGGGUGAAAUUACUACCAAGUGAGGAGGAUAUGAAAACCCCUACAAUACAAUGUCAGGACUCCAGACAAAGCACCCAGGAAUGCCAGUCUACUGUUCUGCAUUCUCCCACUGAAUGUGCCAACCAUGGGGGCUCCCAGGAGGCUGGUAGGGACAUAGAGUCAUAUGCUGUUGGGACUACUGGCAAGAAGGACCAGCUGGCAUCCUAGGUAGCAAAGCAGGCGUGCAUUAUCACAUUCUACCCAUUCACAUAUGCAGCGGGUUGGCCGACCAGUCCUGGAAGGAAAGCACAGGAGUGAGAAAAGGUGUUCUGGAGAAACUGCUUUCAGUCGCAGUCCUUUGCUGUGUGCUUUUGAUUCUUUGGCCAUAUCUCCCUAUCCUCCAUCCCAUCCCCCACUGGAAACAUGAGGGAACCUCACCUUUCCUCCUCCUCACGGCUGCCUCUGUCACUCUUAUCAUUUACGGACUCUACAUCAUCAAUUCAGCUGUUUCUCAGCUGCCUCUGUGACUCUGGGGUGAACGAUGAAGACUUAGAUCACCCGCCUCCCUCCUCUGGCCAGUGUUUG
This is a long non-coding RNA of Homo sapiens (human), 647 nucleotides long. RefSeq lists it as uncharacterized. The transcript has 3 exons. The record is from RefSeq and is a predicted model, not a curated record. Lineage: Eukaryota; Metazoa; Chordata; Mammalia; Primates; Hominidae.